AAACAAAAAAAACAACUUGCCAACUGAAUCCAGCAGCACACCAAAAAGCUUUUUUAAAUUAAGGUAUAUGCACUUUUUAUAUAUAUCUAAAAUGCAUAUAUGUAUAUAAAUGUUCCAGGCUUACCUGGAAUCAAAAUUUAUCAUGUCCCUAAAUGUGUCUGAUGCCAAAGCCUUGAAAGUAAUACUUCUAUCACAUCCUCCUCACUGAUUUGGCCCACCAUGAUCCUAAUGCAAACCAUCAUCAUGUCUUUUCUAAUCCACUGCAAUAGCCUGUUAAAUGAUGUUCCCAUUUUUCUUUCGCUCUAAGAUUGGUAAUAAAGAAGAAUGUCUACUUACAACUUCUAUUCAAAUGGAUAUUCUACCACUUCUAGGCCUUUUGGCUAAAAUCAAGUGGAAAUGGAGGUUCUAGACAUUGCAAUAAUGCAAAGAAAAAAUAUGACAAAAGCUAUAAAGAUUUAAAAGAAAGAAGAAAGAUUGUUUCUAUUUGCAGAUGGUAUGAUCGUUUUUGUAGAAAAUCCUUAAAAAAUAUACAAAACAACUUCAUAAAUAAGUGAAUUUAAUUAGUUUAUAG
Molecule: long non-coding RNA, 571 nt
Filed under: Homo sapiens (human)
Lineage: Eukaryota; Metazoa; Chordata; Mammalia; Primates; Hominidae
Description: non-protein coding lnc-C1D-14:2
Source: RNAcentral